RNAcentral lists this ribosomal RNA (259 nucleotides) under uncultured bacterium. RNAcentral describes it as "partial 16S ribosomal RNA". It matches the Rfam family "Bacterial small subunit ribosomal RNA", at positions 15 to 257 of the family's 1533-position model. The record is from RNAcentral.
GAUCCUGGCUCAGGACGAACGCUGGCGGCGUGCUUAACACAUGCAAGUCGAACGUGAUUUUUAUGGAAGAACCUUCGGGGACGGAAGUAAAAUGAAAGUGGCGAACGGGUGAGUAACACGUGAGCAACCUACCUUACACAGGGGGAUAGCCGUUGGAAACGACGAUUAAUACCGCAUGAGACCACAAUACUGCAUGGUAAAGGGGUCAAAGAUUUAUCGGUGUAAGAUGGGCUCGCGUCUGAUUAGCUAGUUGGAAGGG